AAUAUUGGACAAUGGGGGCAACCCUGAUCCAGCCAUGCCGCGUGUGUGAAGAAGGUCUUCGGAUUGUAAAGCACUUUAAGUUGGGAGGAGGGGCUUUAGGUUAAUACCCUGAAGUUUUGACGUUACCAACAGAAGAAGCACCGGCUAACCCUGUGCCAGCAGCCGCGCUAAUACAGAGGGUGCAAGCGUUAAUCGGAAUUACUGGGCGUAAAGCGCGCGUAGGUGGUUCAGAAAGAUGGGUGUGAAAACCCCGGGCUUAACCUGGAAACUGCUUUCAUAACUGCUGAGCUAGAAUACGGUAGAGGGUAGUGGAAUUUCCUGUGUAGCGGUGAAAUGCGUAGAUAUAGGAAGGAACACCAGUGGCGAAGGCGACUACCUAGACUGAUACUGACACUGAGGUGCGAAAGCGUGGGGAGCAAACA
Molecule: ribosomal RNA, 422 nt
Filed under: uncultured bacterium
Lineage: Bacteria
Description: partial 16S ribosomal RNA
Rfam family: Bacterial small subunit ribosomal RNA
Source: RNAcentral